This 30-nucleotide non-coding RNA is filed under the name Rattus norvegicus (Norway rat). Lineage: Eukaryota; Metazoa; Chordata; Mammalia; Rodentia; Muridae. The record is from RNAcentral.
UAUCCUUAAUUCAAGGGCAAAGGGCUGAGA